AUUGAACGCUGGCGGCAUGCCUUACACAUGCAAGUCGAACGGCAGCACGGGUGCUUGCACCUGGUGGCGAGUGGCGAACGGGUGAGUAAUACAUCGGAACGUACCUUAUCGUGGGGGAUAACAAAUUGAAAAAUUUGCUAAUACCGCAUAAUACUCUGAGGAGGAAAGCGCGGGAUCUGUAAGAAACUCGUGCGAUUAGAGCGGUCGGUGGCUGAUUAGCGAGUUGGAGAGGUAAAGGCCCAUCAAGGCAACGAUCAGUAGCAGGUCUGAGCGGAUAAUCAGCCACACGAGAACUGCGAAACGGUACAGGAUCCGACGGGAGGCAGCAGUGGGGAGUUUUGGACAAUGGGCGAAGGUCUGAGUCAGCAAUGCCGCGUGAGUGAAGAAGGCCUUCGGGUUGUAAAGCUCUUUUGUCAGUGAAGAAAACUUUAGUAAUAACACUAUUAAAGCAUGACGGUAACUGAAGAAUAAGGACCGGCUAACUACGUGCCAGCCGCCGCCGUAA
This 505-nucleotide ribosomal RNA is filed under the name uncultured bacterium. Its description in RNAcentral is "partial 16S ribosomal RNA". It matches the Rfam family "Bacterial small subunit ribosomal RNA", at positions 30 to 523 of the family's 1533-position model. The record is from RNAcentral.